GUGCCAGCCGCUGCGGUAAUACGAAGGGGCUAGCGUUGCUCGGAAUGACUGGGCGUAAAGGGCGUGUAGGCGGUUUGUACAGUCAGAUGUGAAAUCCCCGGGCUUAACCUGGGAGCUGCAUUUGAUACGUGCAGACUAGAGUGUGAGAGAGGGUUGUGGAAUUCUCAGUGUAGAGGUGAAAUUCGUAGAUAUUGGGAAGAACACCGGUGGCGAAGGCGGCAACCUGGCUCAUUACUGACGCUGAGGCGCGAAAGCGUGGGAGCAAACAGGAUUAGAUACCCUGGUAGUCCACGCUGUAAACGAUAGUGUGCGUGGAUGUCGGGUG
Molecule: ribosomal RNA, 325 nt
Filed under: uncultured Acetobacter sp.
Lineage: Bacteria; Pseudomonadati; Pseudomonadota; Alphaproteobacteria; Acetobacterales; Acetobacteraceae
Description: bacterial SSU rRNA
Rfam family: Bacterial small subunit ribosomal RNA
Source: RNAcentral